UAAAAAUAUGACUGAAAUUCUCAAGUUUGUGUACUAUAUGAUUUUCUUUCUUUCUCUAUAUCUUAUCAUAAAGAAUGUAGAAGGUAGAUACAUAACGAAGCAAGCUCAAGGAAAUUUCUCUAUAGACCUCGCAACCUUCUAAUCCACCUCUGGUGAAAAACCCAAACUACCCCUGACUUCGGAAGUUCAUUUCCGAAAUGCAAAAAAAAGACGUUUUCGGAGAUGCAUCUCCGAAAGUGCCUUUUUUUUUUGAAAAAAUUGUCUUAUUUCAGAAGUUCAUUUCCGAAAACACCAUUUCGGAAAUGAACUUCCAAAAUACUGCGCGUUUUGCAGAUUUAGCAAAACAGCCCCCUCCCCCAAUUCAUUUACCCUAAAUCAACUUAAUACUCAACCCCUCUUCAAAUUUUCGGCCAAAAUCAAGUGUAAGAUCAAAGAGCAUUCCCAAGUCUUCUUCCAAACUCAUCAUCAAACACUAAUUGGAACAUGUCAGGCAACCAACCAGCACGCAUCAGAUAGGGGAGAGAGUCCCAGACUGCGUCGGCUAGACGCGAGCGGGCGGCGGUGCAGCUGGCGUCGACCCAGGGACGGUGCAGGGUCGGGGACGCCGUGUGCGAAUUCCUGUGGACGUGGGAGAGGGUACAUCUGGUUCAGGUUCUAGGAGUUGGCUGGCUCGGGCAUCUUCUUCCCGCCAGCGAGAGGAGGAGGAGGAGGUGGCGGCAGUGACUUACCACGAGCCGGAGGGGGUACCGGAAGUUGACCCUCCAGCCGGGGAGGAGGAUGAGCAGGAGGACGGCUAUCCGGGAGGGCCCUUUGACACCUUUGUGCUGAUUCACUACCACGAUCACGUCGCUCGGCGGAUCUGGGAGGGAGAGGUAUUUUUUAAUUUAACCGUUUAAUUGUCACCAUUUUUUAUAGUUUAACCGUUUAUUUGUCGCUUAUUUAAUAUAUGUCGCUUAUUUAAUAUAUGUCGCUUAUUUGUUUUUUUUCUAACAAGAGAGAAAGCCGCUGAAAAUGGUCAACCACGUCCGCAAGAUUUUCAGUCUGUUUAAACUAGCAGCUGAGUGGUUCAACGACCAUGUGCGAGGUUCAGGGCUCAGCGGGCUCUGCACGACGGGGUACACCACCAUCAGCACCGGCAUGCAGGGGGUAUUUGUGGAGCGCUGGCACAAGGAGACGUCCUCUUUCCACUUGCCGGUUGGGGAGAUGACGAUCACCUUGCAUGAUGUGCAGUGUCUUCUCCACCUUCCGAUUAGGGGGCCGCUGUUACACCACUCCAAGAUCCAGAGGGUCGAGGCCAUUGAGUGGAUGACGCUCUAUUUGGGCAUGGAGCACGAGGUUGCUCACUUUGAGUGCGCCACGACUUCUGGGCCUCAUGUCCGGUUCACCACACUGAGCACUUAUUUUGAGCACCAUCUGAACGCGGCUGCCGAGGCUGAGGGUGAGGGUAACGAACUGUUCACACACUAUCACCGCGGCUGCGCUCUCCGGUGUUGGUACAUGCAUGUGGUAGGCGCUGCAUGCUUUGUGGACAAGAGUGUCAGGUACGUCGACGUGACCUACCUCCGCUACUUCAUGGACCUGGAUACCGUUCAUUAGUGGAACUGGGGGGCAGCUACUCUGGCAUACCUCUACCAGAAGCUGAAUGAGGCCUCCAACUGGAGGACCAGGCAGUUGGUUGGAUCCUGCACACUACUUACGAGCUGGAUCAUCUCCUACUUCUCCCGCAUCCACGGCUUCCACAUCGAUCAUGCGUACGUUGACGCCAUGCCCAGGGCCGCCAUAUACGCUCUCCAGAGGGGGAACGAUGCGGUGGGACCAUACCGUUUGUACUUGGACCGCACGAUGCACGACGACGUCACCUGGAGGCCGUUCGCCGACUACGCUCAGAUUGUCCCCUUUGACGGCAUUGCUUUAUAUUCAGGCUGGUUGGCAUGCGGGACCGGCAUCAUGGUCCGGUAUCUCCCUGAGCGGUGCAUGCGUCAGUUCGGAUUCGUGCAGCGGAUACCCAGGUCACCCUUUGAGGCUGCUCCCGACAGAGUGACCCGAGUGCAGCUCACUGCCAUAUGGGCGGAGUGGCAGCAACAUGUGGUACCGCAGGAGUACCGUCUCACUCGGGUCACACAGGACUGACACAAUGAGGAGGGGUACGUCACAUGGUUCUACCGGGUGUCCCAUCCUCUGCUGAGACCCGACGUUUCCGGCGCUUCUAGGCCAGCACAUGAGGAGAUCCUGGAGAACCAGCAGGCCGAGGAUGACCACGCCAUUGAUCUCAUGCCGAUCUGCCAGCGGAUAGAGAUGCUUGGGCGGGACGCGUUGGAUCGAGGUAUCGUUGAUCAGGGCGGUGCAGAGGCAGUCGCCGUGAUGGAGAGGAUCGUCACUGAUGCGGGCCGUGCAGCGGCAUACAGGUGGCAGAGGAGGUCCCAGGGAGAGAGGGUUAGGCAUACCCAGUAGGGGUCCUGGUUUAUUUUUUUUUUGUUUUCGGAUUAUAUGUUUCGCACACUAUUACUAUUUGGUUCGGCUUGUAUAUAUUAUUUGGAUUUUAUUUAUCGUAUUAGUAUUUUCUGUUUAUAUGUCGCUUAUUUUAUUUGGCGUUUGCGUUUAAUUAAAAUGCGAGACUGUUUAAGAAAAAACAUAAAAAAAACACAUUUUCUGCAUAAUUCGGAAGUUUAUUUCCGAACUCACCCCCCAUGAGGUGUUUUCGGAAGUUCAUCUCCGAAGACACCCCCCAUGAGGUGUUUUCGGAGAUGCACUUCCGAAUUGUGGAAAUUUUUAAAAAAAAAACAGCGCUUCGGAAGUUCAUUUCCAAAGCAGGGGUAUUUUGGGAUUUUCGCUGGAGGUGACCCCCAUAGGGAGGUGGCUAAAGAAAUUUUCUUUUAUUAUAUUUUUUCAUUGCAACAGCAAUGUUAAAGGAGUGUGGAAAGUCUAAUUGUCAACUAACAAAGGAUCAAAAGCUCAUAUGAGUUAUGGACAUAUGCAGGGCCGACCCUGUGCAUGUGCAACAAGAGCCACAGCACAGGGCCUCAUAAAAUGAAGGGCCUCCAAAUUUUCUUUUGUAUUCUGACUAUUAAUAAUUUAUUUUGGUGAUUGUACUGCAUCGAUUAUAAAAGUACUCAUUAGUCAUAUAAUAAAAUUUAUUACUAUUAAAGUGUAUCUGUUUUUGGGCCCACUUAUGUGAUUGUCAUUUUAUACACACUUUAGAAAUCAGUACUACCAUUAUACCAAUA
Molecule: long non-coding RNA, 3224 nt
Organism: Vicia villosa (hairy vetch)
Lineage: Eukaryota; Viridiplantae; Streptophyta; Magnoliopsida; Fabales; Fabaceae
Exons: 4
Source: RefSeq, a predicted model, not a curated record